AGUCCUGUCCCCUCUCAACUGCAGGUGCUUAGUCCUGUCCCCUCUCUACAGCAGGUGAUUAGUUAUGUCCCCUGUCCUCUCUACAGCAGGUUCUUAGUUCUGUCCCCUGUCCCCUCUCUACAGCAGGUGCUUAGUUCUGUCCCCUCUCUACAGCAGGUGCUUAGUUCUGUCCCCUCUCUACAACAGGUGCCUACAGACGUGGAGAAGUGCCAGGACAGAGUGGAGUGUUUUAACGCUGACCUGAAGUCAGACUGGGACCAGUGGCAGAACAACAAGACACAAGACUUCAGACAGUUACUCACUGGCAUGGCAGACCACAACAUCCAGUACUAUGAGAAGUGCCUUGCAGCGUGGGAGUCUGUCAUUCCAGUAUUACAGGACAAGCAACCACAGGAGACAGAAACAGAGGAAGACUGACACGGCCAGCUCCCCUUAGGAGCACAUUGGAAAGUGGACAUAAGAUCUCAAACACUUCUCUACCCGAGUUACCAGUGUCACACACAGACACAGAUACUCUCGACUUGGAGAUUACCGAGGAAAUGGGCUUUUGGGUCUACAGACUGAAGUUUUCCUUUUUAGUUUUGGUGUUUGUAUUUGUGAAACCCAGUCAGUCGGAACGUCCCAUCCUGCCUGCUGGGCAUUGUCUCACGUCAGGUAGCGCAACGACCGCCUGCACUGAUCUGUCUGAUAACUUGCAAACACUCAUGGGAAAUAAGUUUGGCCGCAAUAUGCUGUCUAACAUUCGGGAAUGUUACCAUCGUCUGCUAAAAGCCUCUACAUCAUCUGAAAGAGUCAGAGUUAAUCUGACCGGAAAUAUCAACCUGGAGUCAGAUUUUUAAAAAAGCUAAUACAUCUUCACUAUCUAAUUCUACAUCUAAUGAAGGUGUGGUUGGAAGAAUCAGUAUUUAUGAAAUUCGUAAUGUACACUAAAAUUAGCUAGCUAACGCGUCAGCUACAGUAGCUAGUGUCUGCUUGCUGGCUGUACCCGUCUCAAAUCAAUCCAUAAUCAAAGGCAGGGAUGCUAACAAUGCGAGUUCACACACACACACUCAAUGCUGAAUAAUCCUAGUAAAGUCUAGCUAAUGCACAAAUGAGUUUUCACGAUAUCUUGUUCUGAGGUGAUAUAGUGUGCCGAGUUCUACAGCACAGCUGAAUGUAGCAAGGCACACUGAGUCAGAAACCUGCUGAUUUCUGAGAACAGUCCCAGAACUUUGGUGCCUUACAAGCUGGCAAACUAUCUACCGUAUGGCCAUUCAAACAAGCCCUGCACUCGGCUGCUAACUGGAGUUUACUCAAGUGAUUGAGCGUGGUUUCCGUAGUAUACAGUGUGUCAUAGCUACAGAGAGAGUUAUUUUCAGAAUUAGGAACUAGAAUUAGGCAGAAGAGCAAAUGGUAGAUUAUUAGAGAUGUGUUCCACGUCCUACGUGACAGAUCGGUUGAGGGAUGAGCCCCCCGUAGGAGUGACGCUAUCUGACGUGAGACAAUGGCCUGCUGGGAAGAGCCAUGGAGCAGAGUGGAUGGGUCUCGCUCUCUCUACCUCUGUCUCUCUCAUUCUCUCUCACUCUCCCUCUACUCUCUCUACUCUCUCUACUCUCUCUCACUCUCUCUCUCUACUCUCUCUCUACUCUGUCUCUCUCACUCUCUCUCUACUCUCUCUCUACUCUGUCUCUCUCUCUCUCUACUCUCUGUCUGUCUCUCACUCUCUCUCUACUCUCUCUCUACUCUCUCUAUUCUCUCUCUAUUCUCUCUCUAUUCUCUCUCUACUCUGUCUGUCUGGAAGCCCUGUUCUGUACCUCGUUGCACACCAAAAUAGCCUGGGUUCUAUUCACAAGAAACCAAACAGAAGAAAACAGACUACCUGAACUUGUCCAAAAAAGAAACUCAUUUUUGUUGCUGAACGCUUUCCGUGUGUUUAACGUUUUGCUACGUUGUGCACUAAUGAACACGACCCUGAUACCGUAGACAGGGCUGUCCUAUAGAAGCGCUCCGUCCCACCGACCAGCCAAAGGAUUAGCGAAUGUAGAGACCAAACUAAUAUUAGGGUGUCCAAAACACCCCUUUGGUGACAAAGUUUCACUUUGUUAUGUUUUAUAUUUUACUGAGACAAAUACGAUUAUUUAUGUUUCUGACUCGUUCAGUGGGGUUUUCUUUAACAUAUCCAUAACAUUAUAUCGGAAAGUAGGAUUUUUUUUUUUGUAACCUAACGUCUGAUACUAUAACCUCUGUUGACGUUGACGUCACGUUUCUCCAAACAACUUUUGAGGAUUUGACAUUUUGUUUUCAGCCAAAUUUGACACGAGCUGAAAUAAAAUGUAAAAGGCAUGAAAAUAAAUAGCUCGGUAUACGCUCAGUGCUCUGUACUUCACAGAGAAACACUUUGGGGGUUUUUUUUUGUUGUGAGAAAGCUUUGAAAAAAGAACAGGAAUUUUUGAGUGAAUAUGAAAAUACUAUGUCACAUCUCAAAAUGUAUAUUUGUGUUACAUCUAGAUUUGUUUUAUUUCCUGUUGAUUUGAGAAGAGAGAUGAAGAGUUGAACGGGAAAAGGGAUCCUGCCUGUUUAGCUGAUUCAAUGCUAUUUUACAGAUUGUUUUUCUACACAAUUAACAUUAUUUUACCGAUUGGUCAAAAGAUGCGUUUUUUGAUUGGAAAUAUGCAGUGUUUCUUUUCUGUUAGAAGGUUGUAGUCUGUAAUUGGUUGGUUGCCAAUUAUCUUUUUUUGUAAACAAUGCAGGUGUUUUGAUGGUCUUUGAUGCCCAAAGCCCUUGAAGAGUCCAGCAGCAUCUUCAUCAUGUUUUUUAUCAUGUUGUUGAUGCACUAACAGAACCAGCUGUCCAGGAGAGUAGAGCAGCAAUCCUCUGGCCAAAGAGGAAACCUACCUCACAUACUGGCUAACAUACUGUCUAACGUUUCCUGGUUGGUGGUCUGACUCCCACACCUGUUCACUAGGAACCAAACGUAAGCAAAACAGGCUGCUCACACAGGAUUUUGAUUCUGGGGUGCCAAGAUUACACCACACCAUACCAGACUCUUCCUCCUGUGCCCAAUAGCCUGGGGAUGAGGUCGAAGGUUAACUGGUAUGAAUCCAUGUUAGCGUCUCAAAUACCCCUCCUAUCUAGUGUGCUACUGUUGACCAGGAUUGUGGUAGUGCAAUAUAUAUAGGAAAUAGGAUGCAAUUUGGGACGCAUCAUGUAGUGCCAAAUCGUGUUGGACUGCCUCCUCCCUCUUCCUCCCUCCCCUAUCCACUGUUAUGUAACACAGUGUGGUUGUUGACAUGGAUUUUGAUGAUAUCUCUGUUCACUACUUAGCUAUCUGCAGCUGGGACAUUACACAAAAACGGUACGAUUUUUUUAAAAACCAAAAAUAAAUACUUAUUUCUGAGCACCUCACGACAUUAAGGACAUAUUGAACCUCUUAAGAAAACAUAUUUUUCCAUCUCAGGCAAGAAAAGCCCUGUCAUUAUCAGCCAUUUUCUUCUGAUAUGGACACGAUUGGUCCUUUUAUGGACACUGUGGAAGUUGUCUGGAUGUAAUUAUAACAUACACUUGUAAUAAAAUUAAUAUUUCACAUGUCAA
This is a long non-coding RNA of Oncorhynchus keta (chum salmon), 3570 nucleotides long. RefSeq lists it as uncharacterized. The transcript has 2 exons. Lineage: Eukaryota; Metazoa; Chordata; Actinopteri; Salmoniformes; Salmonidae. The record is from RefSeq and is a predicted model, not a curated record.